UCGCACACUGGUGGGGAGCGGGCGGCUUCCGGGCUUCCAGCAAUAACGAGGCCUGCGGGAAUGAGGAUUGGCUUGUCCACUGUGCUAACUGGACUGUAGGAAAAAAGAAAAGUCCGAAAAGAGAGAGCAGUGUCCAGUGGAACGGGCAGCUCUCCCAGGUCCUGCUGGCCCAGGCUUGGGGCCUGAAGUGUAUGCCCUGCCUGCCCACUCAAGAGGUAAGCACGCUUAAGAAUCCUUGAUCGUGGGGGCGCCUGGGGGCGGGGGUGCUCAGUAGGGUAAGCGUCUGAC
Molecule: long non-coding RNA, 288 nt
Filed under: Felis catus (domestic cat)
Lineage: Eukaryota; Metazoa; Chordata; Mammalia; Carnivora; Felidae
Description: lncRNA (ENSFCAG00000044161.2)
Source: RNAcentral